GAUGAAGAACGUAGUGAAAUGCGAUAAGUAAUGUGAAUUGCAGAAUUCAGUGAAUCAUCGAAUCUUUGAACGCACAUUGCGCCCAUUAGUAUUCUAGUGGGCAUGCCUGUUCGAGCGUCAUUUCAACCCUUAAGCCUAGCUUAGUGUUGGGAAUCUACUGUAUUGUAGUUCCUGAAAUACAACGGCGGAUCUGUAAUAUCCUCUGAGCGUAGUAAUUUUUUUCUCGCUUUGGUUAGGUGUUGCUGCUCUCAGCCGCUAAACCCCCCAAUUUUAAUGGUUGACCUCGGAUCAGGUAGGAAUACCCGCUGAACUUAAGCAUAUCAAUAAGCGGAGGA
RNAcentral lists this unclassified non-coding RNA (335 nucleotides) under soil metagenome. RNAcentral describes it as "partial contains 5.8S ribosomal RNA, internal transcribed spacer 2, and large subunit ribosomal RNA". The stretch from base 1 to 120 matches the Rfam family "5.8S ribosomal RNA", at positions 35 to 154 of the family's 154-position model. The record is from RNAcentral.